Molecule: ribosomal RNA, 750 nt
Filed under: Physarum aff. polycephalum
Lineage: Eukaryota; Evosea; Eumycetozoa; Physariida; Physaraceae
Description: SSU rRNA
Rfam family: Eukaryotic small subunit ribosomal RNA
Source: RNAcentral
UAGCAAGUCGACCAAAGGCGAAAGCAGUCAUCAAGUGCAUACCCGUUGAUCAAGAGCGAAAGUUAAGGGUUCGAAGACGAUCAGAUACCGUCGUAGUCUUAACUAUAAAUGAUGCAAACCAGGGAUAGGACACUGUCCAUAUCGACUCCUCCUGAACCUUCGAGAAAUUACAGUCUUUGGGUUCUGGGGGGAGUAUGGUCGCAAGGCUGAAACUUAAAGGAAUUGACGGAAGGGCACACAAAGAGUGGAACCUGCGGCUUAAUUUGACUCAACACGGGAAAACUCACCAGGUCCAGAUACACGUAUGAAAGUCAAGCUGAAAGACUUUACUCAAUGAUGUAAGUGGUGGUGCAUGGUCGUUCUUAGUUCGUGGAUUGAUUUGUCUGGUCUAUUCCGAUAACGAGCGAGACCCCAUCGUUCCUAAUAGGGGCGGCUAGCCCGCCGACCGAAAGGCCGGUAGCUUCCGCCUAAGAUUUGCUUCUUAGACGUAUCAGAGCCGAUAAGGUUCUUGAAAUGGGUUAAUAACAGGUCAGUCAUGCCCUUAGAUGUUCUGGGCCGCACGCGCGUUACAAUGGCAUGUAAAGCAAGUGCUUGAAAAGGCGUCUCCGGGGCCGAAAGGUCCUGGUAACCCUUAGUCCCUGCCUUGACUGGGACAGAUCAUUGCAAUUAUUGGUCUCCAACGAGGAAUUUUUAGUAGUCGUAGGUCAUUAACCUACGACGAAUGCGUCCCUGCCCUUUGUACACACCGCC